UACGAAGGGGGCUAGCGUUGCUCGGAAUCACUGGGCGUAAAGGGUGCGUAGGCGGGUCUUUAAGUCAGGGGUGAAAUCCUGGAGCUCAACUCCAGAACUGCCUUUGAUACUGAGAUCUUGAGUUCGGGAGAGGUGAGUGGAACUGCGAGUGUAGAGGUGAAUUCGUAGAUAUUCGCAAGAACACCAGUGGCGAAGGCGGCUCACUGGCCCGAUACUGACGCUGAGGCACGAAAGCGUGGGGAGCAAACAGGG
RNAcentral lists this ribosomal RNA (252 nucleotides) under uncultured bacterium. RNAcentral describes it as "partial 16S ribosomal RNA". It matches the Rfam family "Bacterial small subunit ribosomal RNA", at positions 524 to 777 of the family's 1533-position model. The record is from RNAcentral.